This 467-nucleotide ribosomal RNA is filed under the name uncultured bacterium. Its description in RNAcentral is "partial 16S ribosomal RNA". It matches the Rfam family "Bacterial small subunit ribosomal RNA", at positions 28 to 507 of the family's 1533-position model. The record is from RNAcentral.
GACGAACGCUGGCGGCGUGCUUAACACAUGCAAGUCGAACGGAAAGGCCCUGCUUUUGUGGGGUGCUCGAGUGGCGAACGGGUGAGUAACACGUGAGUAACCUGCCCUUGACUUUGGGAUAACUUCAGGAAACUGGGGCUAAUACCGGAUAGGAGCUCCUGCUGCAUGGUGGGGGUUGGAAAGUUUCGGCGGUUGGGGAUGGACUCGCGGCUUAUGAGCUUGAUGGUGGGGUAGGGGCUUACCAAGGCUUUGACGGGUAGCCGGCCUGAGAGUGUGACCGGCCCCAUUCGCCCACGGGUGCCACCCGUGCGCCUUCUGGGAGCAGCGGUGGGAACUAGUUCCAGCUGGGCCGAGGCCGUGAGCAGCACCUCCGCGUUCGAGAGGACGUCUUUCGGGUUGGAAACCGCUUUCGCCUGUGACGAGGCGUGAUGAAGGUAACUAGAGAAAGAGGCACCGCUUACCUCCUG